RNAcentral lists this long non-coding RNA (2812 nucleotides) under Pan troglodytes (chimpanzee). RNAcentral describes it as "lincRNA". Lineage: Eukaryota; Metazoa; Chordata; Mammalia; Primates; Hominidae. The record is from RNAcentral.
AAGUGGUUCCUCCACCAGGGAGACAGGUUUAAUUGCUGUGGGUCAGAGCUGGCCUCCCCGGUGCAGGGAGGAGGAGAUCCCAUGAGUGCGUGGCAGAAAACGCCAGCCACUCAUGACGCCUUGAGCCAGGGUCAUACUAUAUUGACCUGGCUGGUCUGGAACUCCUGGCCUCAAGCGAUUAUCCUGCCUCAGCCUCCCAAACUGUUGGGAUUACAGCGUGAAGCUCUAGUUCCAUAACUUCUGGGAAGCAAUGGCCAGUCUCAGACUUAAGGAUUAAGAGAAUUUUCCUAAUGAUUCCAGAAUCGGAUACUAAAAAACACGGACACUGCCAGAGAAGGCGCAGUGGCUCCCGUCUGCAGUCCAAGCACUUUGGACGGAUCACGAGGUCAGGAGUUCAAUACCAGCCUGGCCAAUAUGGUGAAACCCCAUCUCUACUAAAAAUACAAAAAUUAGCCGGGCAUGGUGGCGCAUGCCUGUAAUCCCAGCUACUCGGGAGGCUGAGGCAGAAGAAUUGCUUGAACCCAGGAAGCAGAAGUUGCAGUGAGGCGACAUUGUGCCACUGCACUCCACCCGGGGUGACAGAGCAUGAGUCCGUCUCAAAAACAAACAAACAAACAAACGAGGACACUGUCUGAGCACUCUUAUUCUGCAUUUGAAGAAAUACAGAAACAAUGGCAAAAAAUCAUUUGCUCAGAAUUACAGUAAAGAAUCUGCAAGUGUUGGCAAGCAUAACUUUGAUUAUUAUUUGAUUACAUGAAUUAUGAAAUGCAUGUCAGUUGAAGUUUUAGAGAGACAAAUAAAUACACAGUAUAAUUGGGGGUUCUUAUUAUUAAGGUCCCUUGUCUUUAGUAUCUGAUAGUUUCGCAUCUCCUUCCUCAUGAGUCCAUGGCAGAAAGUGUCGCUCUGUCUUUUCCUGGCUCCAGCUUUUCUUCUGUUACUACCUGUUGAGGUGAGAGCAAAGGAGAUAGAGACAGCAAAGGAGGCAAGAAGUGGUCUACUCUCUUUUCCAUCUUUCACCCAAGGAUAAGUACUAACCACAGCAGAGCUUAUAUCUGGCUAUAUAUUAAGGAUAUUUUCCUAAAGACCUGAAGAAAACAAAACAGCAUAACAUUAGAGCCCAGAUAAAUUUUGAACAAGAUAAAGAUUUGAUCUUGGAGCCCUUGGGGUUCAGCUAUAACCUAUCUCUUCUGAGAUGAUUUAGUUACCCUCCCUCCAGGUGGAGGCAGCUUCAUGACCAUUCCUCCUGGAUAUAUGUGCAUUUGGGGUUAGACCCUUAUUCCAUCACAAAGCACCAGAUAGGAGUAGAGUCCUGGCUCAUCCACUCUAAUGCUGAAUUCCCCAGUGUCCUCUUUUCCAUUCUACCUCUCACAUGCUCUGACAUUGGCACCCUGUCAGCCUGUCCCUUAACACCAUAAACUACUAUUGGUACAUUUCCCAAAGUUUAAGCUUACUUAGAAUAUGUAUGAUUGUUUUCUAACCUGGUUCAAUUCCUUGUCAUGAAUUUGUAUUCAUUAUUAGGUCAAGAUAAAUACACAUUCUUCCUGUAGUUUUCCAGGUCUUGUUUUCUGAACUCGGGAGCAAUUGUUUAAAAAUUAAUACAGUGACAGUGAUAAUCUGUGUAAUGUGAUAUUCAAAAGCAAAAUUUGCAUUUUCAAAAUGACAGAUUUUGUAGCCUUCACCAUUGUUGUAAUGUUUUAACAAUUUGAAGCCAAUUUCAAUGAGUACCCUAAUUUCUCCAAAUAUUUAGCAAGAAGAGUUUUCAUAAGCAAAGAGUCUAGGCCACGGAAAAUUAACUUUCUUCUUUCUCACACUUGUGAGAACAGUGAGGCUCAGAGAGUCUGAAUUAUUUGCCAAAGGUCCUAAGAGUGGUGGAGCUGGGAUUCAAAACUAGGUCACUCUUACUCUACAACCAUACUGCCUUCUAAAAUUUGUCACUGAAUGUAACUUCCCUCAGCACAUAAAACUGUGUGCAGCAAAAGUUCUACAAGCUCCGAGGUCAAGGGGAACAAUAGGUUUUCUGUGUCUCCAGAUAAGUUGACUCAACCCGAUCAUAUUCAAUUCAAUUUUCAUUUAUUGAUCGUCCAUCGGUUUCAGGUACUAAGUGCUAGACAUAAAAAUGACCAGAGAAAAAAGAGAAUUUUGGAAUGAGAGCAGAAUGGAUUAUUUUCUUCUUUCUUUCUUCUGGUUCAAACAGUAUAUCUCCUGCACAUGACAGUUUUCCUGUAACCUGGUGUAGCACUUUGAAAAUCCAGUAAAGCAGAAGUGACAGCGCUGUAACUCAUGAACUCCACUGAGAUUGCUAUGGUGUGACAAACCUGUCUCAGCUGUCUGUAUAUAAAUUAGGAAUUCCUAAAGCUUUCAAUACGAAAGUUGCUGUGAACUGCUUCGUUUCCAACUGAAAGCAUUGAAAUGCUAAUUAGGAAGCAUUUUUUAUUUUUCCUUCAAAGUAACUUUAAAUAACUUUUCGGGAAAGUAAACACAAUUAGUCUAUUUUUAUGGGACAGAUUUCUCCCUAUGAGAGGAGAAUGGCCAUUUUUGUGAACUACUGUUGGAUAUGACAUAUAUAUUUUGGAAGUCCCUUUCAAUCGUUGGAUUUGGCAGAUAAAAUGUUUAUACCGAUUGUAUUUUAUUGAAAGCCAUUUUAUGCAAAUUAAUUUAACACAGAAUUUAAUGAUUUUGGAUGCUGUGAGAUGAGGGGAAAUAACCUUUAAAAUUAACACUGCAAUUUUCAUCUUCUGAUUGUCUCAGCCUCCCCCAGAAUAGAAAAUGCUUAUUCUCUUGGAGAGAGAAAUAAAUUUAAUCUUUACACGGG